RNAcentral lists this long non-coding RNA (1115 nucleotides) under Aquila chrysaetos chrysaetos. Its description in RNAcentral is "lncRNA (ENSACCG00020008721.1)". Lineage: Eukaryota; Metazoa; Chordata; Aves; Accipitriformes; Accipitridae. The record is from RNAcentral.
GGCGGGGGGGCGGCGGCGAGAAGCCCUCCCCUCUGCCCGGCGCCCCCCCCCGGCUGCGCCGCCCGCCCGGCGCCCCCCGCCGCCCGGCAGCAGCGCCUCCGACCCGCCACCCAUCGCUGGAUGUUCCUCCACUUUACCCACCGUAUCAAACAACUUUUACCAGUAAAUAUCGGUUUAUUCCUGAAACCAGAAGCCCUAAACAUACCUUUGUUUAUAAGCAGUUUGCAUCCGUGCAGCCAGGGCUCGGGUGGAAAUCCAGCCACUACGAGGAGUCUCUCCAGUCCCGGCGAGAGGCGAGAUGCCUGGCGGUGCUGCCACGGUCCUGCCAUCCCUGGCACCGACUGCAGUCGGAGCUCGUGCACUGGUGUACCAAGCCUCAGAACCACUGCUUUCUCCAGCUCAUAGGAUGCUUUUCCGAGACUGUGGAUACGUGUUUGUGUACUGCUGUGUUGAUAAGUAAAUGCCAACGAUGGAGUUCGUUGCUUUUAUACAUCCCAAAGAGAAGUUCUCCACCGUUCAUUUUCUGUUUUCUGACCGAAAAGGCGUGUGUUUGUGAACAGUGUUCACGCAAGUUCUGCCAUCCCACUCUCACAUCAGCUUAUACCAAUGCCAGGAUGGGAGGAUUUGCCUGCGUACCUUCCCCAAAACACCCCGGUCCGCAGUGGCAUCGUCAGGGAGCAGUUCAAAUGUGUGUCCUUUGGGCUUUGUGUAAAGCAAACGCAGAACAAGAAAAAUCAAGAUGUUAAAUCCAUUAGAAAACAAAUUCCUUAUUGUACAGUAGUAUGGAGAUCUCUAGUCAACCUGCCAUUAAUAAUAGAUUCUUAUUUUUUGAAUGAUCUAUUUAAAAGAACAGCAAGCAUUGUAUUUGCUAGUAAAUCUGAAGUGUUUACAUGGAAUUACUAAAUAAAUUAUUUGAUCUAAGAUGGCUCUCAUCAGUGCUGAUUUUUAAUGCUGGAAAUUAAUUUUGGCAGCUGCUUUUUUAGUUCGUGCUGUUCUUUAAAAUCUUCCAAAGCAGAUUUUUUCAAUGCAUCCUUGUGUUUUAAAUUAGGUUCUGAGGAAGACGCAAAGCAUGCCUCUCCCUGCAAGAUCUGACAGGAGUGCUAGCUAAUGUUUUC